Non-coding RNA from Acanthosepion pharaonis, 112 nucleotides. Lineage: Eukaryota; Metazoa; Mollusca; Cephalopoda; Sepiida; Sepiidae. The record is from the annotation of a GenBank genome assembly.
GCGAGAAUACACAUGAUGAAACACUGGUUCUCGUACGAUUACUGAAGUUAAGCAACAUCGAGCCUGAUCACUAACUAGAUGGGUGACCGCUUGGGAAUGCCAGGUGCUGAAA